UGAGGAAUAUUGCGCAAUGGGGGCAACCCUGACGCAGCGACGCCGCGUGAGUGAGGAAGGCCUUCGGGUCGUAAAGCUCUGUCAAAGGGAAAGAAAUGUAUAAUGGCCAAUACCUGUUAUAUUUGACGGUACCCUUAAAGGAAGCACCGGCUAACUCCGUGCCAGCAGCCGCGGUAAUACGGAGGGUGCAAGCGUUGUUCGGAAUCACUGGGCGUAAAGGGCGCGCAGGCGGUUUGGUAAGUCAGAUGUGAAAGCCCACGGCUUAACCGUGGAAGUGCAUUUGAAACUGCCAGACUUGAGUACCAGAGGGCAAAGUGGAAUUCCCGGUGUAGAGGUGAAAUUCGUAGAUAUCGGGAGGAAUACCGGUGGCGAAGGCGACUUUCUGGCUGGAUACUGACGCUGAGGCGCGAAAGCGUGGGGAGCAAACA
RNAcentral lists this ribosomal RNA (428 nucleotides) under uncultured prokaryote. RNAcentral's name for it is "bacterial SSU rRNA". It matches the Rfam family "Bacterial small subunit ribosomal RNA", at positions 355 to 774 of the family's 1533-position model. The record is from RNAcentral.